UACGUAGGGGGCAAGCGUUGUCCGGAAUUAUUGGGCGUAAAGAGCGCGUAGGCGGUCCGAUAAGUCGGCUGUGAAAGUCAGGGGCUCAGCCCUUGAAAGCCGGCCGAUACUGUCGGACUAGAGUCCGGAAGAGGCAAGUGGAAUUCCCGGUGUAGCGGUGAAAUGCGCAGAUAUCGGGAGGAACACCAAUGGCGAAGGCAGCUUGCUGGGACGGUACUGACGCUGAGGCGCGAAAGCGUGGGGAGCAAACAGG
Molecule: ribosomal RNA, 253 nt
Filed under: uncultured bacterium
Lineage: Bacteria
Description: partial 16S ribosomal RNA
Rfam family: Bacterial small subunit ribosomal RNA
Source: RNAcentral